AUACGGAGGGUGCAAGCGUUGUUCGGAAUCACUGGGCGUAAAGGGCGCGCAGGCGGUUUGGUAAGCCAGAUGUGAAAGCCCACGGCUCAACCGUGGAAGUGCAUUUGAAACUGCCAGACUUGAGUACCAGAGGGGAAAGUGGAAUUCCCGGUGUAGAGGUGAAAUUCGUAGAUAUCGGGAGGAAUACCGGUGGCGAAGGCAACUUUCUGGCUGGAUACUGACGCUGAGGCGCGAAAGCGUGGGGAGCAAACAGGAUUAGAAACCCUAGUAGUCC
Molecule: ribosomal RNA, 274 nt
Filed under: uncultured bacterium
Lineage: Bacteria
Description: partial 16S ribosomal RNA
Rfam family: Bacterial small subunit ribosomal RNA
Source: RNAcentral